RNAcentral lists this ribosomal RNA (662 nucleotides) under uncultured Staphylococcus sp. RNAcentral's name for it is "bacterial SSU rRNA". It matches the Rfam family "Bacterial small subunit ribosomal RNA", at positions 77 to 724 of the family's 1533-position model. Lineage: Bacteria; Bacillati; Bacillota; Bacilli; Caryophanales; Staphylococcaceae. The record is from RNAcentral.
AGCUUGCUCCUCUGACGUUAGCGGCGGACGGGUGAGUAACACGUGGAUAACCUACCUAUAAGACUGGGAUAACUUCGGGAAACCGGAGCUAAUACCGGAUAAUAUAUUGAACCGCAUGGUUCAAUAGUGAAAGACGGUUUUGCUGUCACUUAUAGAUGGAUCCGCGCCGCAUUAGCUAGUUGGUAAGGUAACGGCUUACCAAGGCAACGAUGCGUAGCCGACCUGAGAGGGUGAUCGGCCACACUGGAACUGAGACACGGUCCAGACUCCUACGGGAGGCAGCAGUAGGGAAUCUUCCGCAAUGGGCGAAAGCUUGACGGAGCAACGCCGCGUGAGUGAUGAAGGUCUUCGGAUCGUAAAACUCUGUUAUUAGGGAAGAACAAAUGUGUAAGUAACUAUGCACGUCUUGACGGUACCUAAUCAGAAAGCCACGGCUAACUACGUGCCAGCAGCCGCGGUAAUACGUAGGUGGCAAGCGUUAUCCGGAAUUAUUGGGCGUAAAGCGCGCGUAGGCGGUUUUUUAAGUCUGAUGUGAAAGCCCACGGCUCAACCGUGGAGGGUCAUUGGAAACUGGAAAACUUGAGUGCAGAAGAGGAAAGUGGAAUUCCAUGUGUAGCGGUGAAAUGCGCAGAGAUAUGGAGGAACACCAGUGGCGAAGGCGA